Small nucleolar RNA from Molossus molossus (Pallas's mastiff bat), 66 nucleotides. RefSeq annotates it as small nucleolar RNA SNORD56. Lineage: Eukaryota; Metazoa; Chordata; Mammalia; Chiroptera; Molossidae. The transcript has a single exon. The record is from RefSeq and is a predicted model, not a curated record.
UUAUAAUGAUGGUAACAUUUUUUGUCAGCAGCAGUUCACCUGCUGAGUUACUUUGGGUCUGAGUGA